This 558-nucleotide ribosomal RNA is filed under the name uncultured bacterium. RNAcentral describes it as "partial 16S ribosomal RNA". It matches the Rfam family "Bacterial small subunit ribosomal RNA", at positions 355 to 1375 of the family's 1533-position model. The record is from RNAcentral.
UGGGGAAUAUUGGACAAUGGGCGCAAGCCUGAUCCAGCAAUGCCGCGUGAGUGAUGAAGGCCUUAGGGUUGUAAAGCUCUUUCGCACGCGACGAUGAUGACGGUAGCGUGAGAAGAAGCCCCGGCUAACUUCGUGCCAGCAGCCGCGGUAAUACGAAGGGGGCUAGCGUUGUUCGGAAUUACUGGGCGUAAAGGGCGCGUAGGCGGCCUGUUUAGUCAGAAGUGAAAGCCCCGGGCUCAACCUGGGAAUAGCUUUUGAUACUGGCAGGCUUGAGUUCCGGAGAGGAUGGUGGAAUUCCCAGUGUAGAGGUGAAAUUCGUAGAUAUUGGGAAGAACACCGGUGGCGAAGGCGGCCAUCUGGACGGACACUGACGCUGAGGCGCGAAAGCGUGGGGAGCAAACAGAUUAGAUACCCUGUAGUCCACGCCGUAAACGAUGAAUGCUAGACGUCGGGGUGCAUGCACUUCGGUGUCGCCGCUAACGCAUUAAGCAUUCCGCCUGGGGAGUACGGCCGCAAGGUUAAAACUCAAAUGAAUUGACGGGGUCAUAGCUGUUUCCU